Long non-coding RNA from Alnus glutinosa, 7854 nucleotides. RefSeq lists it as uncharacterized. Lineage: Eukaryota; Viridiplantae; Streptophyta; Magnoliopsida; Fagales; Betulaceae. The record is from RefSeq and is a predicted model, not a curated record. The transcript has 2 exons.
UUUUCUGAUUUGGUUCUUUUAUUUGUUUACCAAUUUCUUUGUUGAAGUUUUGAAUUAUAGAUGCUGAAAUGUUAUAGUUGCAAAAACAUUUAGUGAUAACAGCAUGAGUAAUAUGCAGGCAGCCAAACAGGCAGUGAACUGCACACCAGAUUUUUAUUGAAUUGCAUUGGGGGAAAAGCAUGAGCUAUAAGUACCUCUUUUCAAUAAUCACCCGAUCAAGAUGUGUUUCACAUGCUUAACACUAAGAGUUUUAAUUUCUUUUUUGAUAAGUAUAAGAGUUUUAAUUUCUUAAUUGGUUUUGUUGACUGAAUUGAUGAAUCACUUACAAAUUCUUCCCAUUCUAGUCAUUAUUAUAGUUUAGCUAAUUGAUGGGAGACACAAGAACCUUCUUCGUAUUUUUCUCCAUUUGCUAUCUUUUGUGUCUUAAAGAUCUUGUUACAAAUUGGAAACAACAUUGUGAGAUUGGAAAUCAUGCUGUUUUGUCUUUUUCUUUAAAAUUAUUUAAGAGGGAGGGUCACCGGUUGGCGGUCACAGUGCUUCUUCGCUUUACAUUGGUCAAACGGUGUAAUGCCUAAUUGGAUAACUAUAAUCUUUAUUGUCCAAUACCUAUCUAUGAUACUGCUUCUUUCCUGCUAGGAUUAUGGGCUUAAUAGGCAUUGGAGAAAACUUGUUCUGGGAAUAUGUGGGCUGAGGUUGAUGUUUUCAUGGGUUCAACUGAAAGGUGGUGGAGUUUCUUCUGGGAGAUUUACAUCUGCAAAGUAGUUAAAAGCUCCGAGGGAAAGUUAGAAGGUGAAUGAGGAAAAAAUACAGGAGGAUAGAGGUUUUGUUGGAGGUUAUCUGUGUGUUGGAGAGGAAUGGUGGGGAUUCUGGGUGUCUGAUCUAAGGAGGACAAACCAUUUUACAAGGUAAGUUUAUUGGUUGGUAGAGUUGGCGAUCAGCUGGAAGCGAAGUCAAGGCCUUUAAGAGCCAGAAAAUUAUCAUUGGAUGGCAAAUGUGCGCAGAAUAUCUAGUUUUAUUUUUUAUAAAAUAAUAAUAGAGGUCUUGAUGAAGGUGCUGAGGGAAGUUAGAAGUAGAGGUGAGUUCUUCCAAGAGGCUAUUUGAGAGGCAGCAAGUAAGGACACUUUAGUUUGAUUUUGGAUCUCUUUGAGUUUCAUGAUAUAGAGCACUAUAUUUUGAAGUAAUUUGAAAGACUUGUUAGAGAGGAAGAAGUGGUGGGAUUUGGAAAGAAGUUGAAUGUUGAACGGAUUUGGUUCAGAUAUGAUGCAUAUGGCUUUAUCUAAUGUUGUUAAUAGUGCCUUCACGUUCAUGAUGGAGGAAUUUUGAGAGUUCUGAGAUGCAGUGCUGGUCUUUUUGAUUCCUUAAGUAGACAUAAAUGGUGGGCAAUCAAGAUUUUUUGCGAAGAUAAUUUGUUGGGGGUGUGCAUGUACUUGGAACGAGUUAAGAGGCUGGUAAAUGGUACUACCUUUUGAAAACUGGAAAGUAUGGUUAAAAAAGGGUAUACCUUGAAUGUUUACUGAGCAUGGAAGUGAAACCAAGCCAAUUUAUACCAGCUAGCUGCAUGUGUUCAAGUGAGACUUCUUAUAAAAAAAAGUUUUCAAGUGAGACUUGUCUAUAUUAUAAUCAACCUAUUAAGUGGUGCACCUAACGACCUGAUUCAGGUGAGUAGUUGGGGUCUUUUGUUUUCUUGUUUAACUAAAUGGUCUAAUUCAGAUAUGAUAUCUUUGUCACAAUAUUUUUGCUCAGAUGUUAUUGCUGAACUUGGGAAAUGGAGAGGUGGAGUUGCCUAAUAAGAAUGCUUUGGUUGGAGUUGCAGUACAUUUAGUAAAGCAUGUUUACAUCUUAUUUGCAAGUUGGGUUUAUAUUGGAUAUCCUUUGUAUUACAUUAAUGAUAGUUCCCGUAGGUGCUUGCUUAUUAAGUUGGCUUCCAAUUCCAAAUCAAUUAAUAAUGGGAAAAAGAAUUAAAAAGGUUGGCUUAUUCUAUUAACUAUGAUUCUAAGGGUGGAAGUUCUUGCCGAGGUAGAGCUGGGAGUUCUAUCAAAUUCGAGUUGGGAGAUGGGUCCAAGAUCAGAUUUUGGGAUGCUGUGUGGUGUGGAGAGAUGACUCUCAAGGAAGCUUUCCCGCAUUUAUAUAACAUUGCUCGUGUGAUGGAUGCGUCUGUUGUAGUUAAUUUGGACUUCUCAAGUGGAUUCCUUUAGUGGAAUGUUAGUUUUAUUCGUUCGGCUCACAAUUGGGAGGUAGAUGUCUUGGCCUCCUUCUAUACCUUGUUGUAUUCCCAUAGAGUGAGAAGGGAAGAGGAAGACAAGCUUUGGUGGGCCCCGUCUCACAAAGGAAAUUUUGAUGGUAGCUCCUUUUACAAGAUCCUUGCUUGUAAAGACGCUUUUCCUUUCCCAUGGAAGAGUAUUUGGCGGACCAAGGUUCCUUCGAAUAUAGCUCUUUUUUUUUUCCCCGCUUGGUUGGCAGCUAUAGCGAAGAUUCUUACCAUGUACAAUCUUAGGAAGAGGCAUGUCACCGUGGUGAUAGGUGCUGCUUGUGCAAACAAAAUGUGGAGUCAGUGGACCUUCUUCUUUCUUCUCCAUUGUAAAGUUGCCUGUGCCUUAUGGAAUGCUAUCUUCAAUCGCUUUGGGAUGUCCUGGGUUAUGCUUAAUUAGGUGGUUGAUUUGUUUGUUUGCUUGCUGGUGGACGGGUGGUAGCUCUCAGAGUGCUGUUGUGUGAAAAAUGGUGCCUUCUUGCCUUAUGUGGUGCAUGUGGAGGGAACAAAAUGAUAGAAAUUUCGAGAACUAAGAAAUGACCUUGGAGGAGCUCAAGUCCUUGUUCUUUUAUUAUCUUUUUAUUUGGAUAACUGCGUUUUUAGCUCCCUUGGUGAUUAGUUUUAAUAAUUUUCUUGUACUUUUUUCUUCAUUUAUUUAGGUGUUCUCAUGUAUACUUCCUGUGUAUUAGGGUUGCGUCUUUCUAUGCUUUUUAAAAUGCAUUAAAUUACUUAUAAAAAAAAAAAGUUCUAGCUGAGGUAGAGUGAAGGGGAGGAUUAUUUCGGUACUUUAUGAAGCCUAAGUUGUUAUCUUGGAAUGUGAGAGGGCUGAACAAGGUGGACAAGUGCUUGAGGGUUCAUAAUUUACUUAGAGAAAGGAGGCAGAUGUUUGUUUUUAAAAAAACUAAAUUGGAGCACUGUUAAUGAUAUAUCUAUUACUUAUUAAAAAAAGAAAAAAGAAAAAAAAAACUAAAUUGGAGCAUGUCUUGCAAUCUUGUGCAUAGUCCCAAUAUGUGGAUUGGUGUUGUUUAGAUCCUAAAGGGGCAUCUAGUGGGAUUCUGCUUAUGUGGGAGAGGAGGGUAGUUGAAAAAAAUGAAAAGUGUAUGGGGGAGUUUACUGUAGCUUGUUCCUUUAGAAAUUUCGAAGAACAUUUUAAAUUGGUUUUUGUGGGGGGUUUAUGGUCCCAAAUAUGAUUGUGAUGGAAGGUUUUUAUGGGACAAGUUGGCUGGUUUGCUUGGUGGGAUUUGCCGUGAUGCAUUGGGGGGGAUUUUUAUGUCACUUGUUUUCCUAGUGAGAGAUCGGGUGAAGCCCAUUUUUGUCCAAUUAUGGUGCAAUUUUCAGAUUUCAUUUUUGCCAGGGUGAGCCCAUUUUCAUAUUUCAUUUCGGGUUAAGCCCAUUUUUCUCUUCCCAACCAAAUGCAGGAUCGGAUGUUAAAGCUAAAGAUUUAACAUCAACUAAUUCGUACAUAUCAUUUGAGGCAAAGAGUGAAAUUUUGAAGAAUCCUAAUGUUGCAAUUGAGCAUUUAGAAGAUUUUGAUCUUCUAGAAGAAAGGAGAGCUUUAUGUGACGAGGAGAAAAUGAGGAAGGCUAAAGCUAUCAAUGAUUUGGAGAGGUUUACUCUUAUAGAGGAGGUGAGUUGGAGACAGAAAUCAAGGGUAUUAUGGCUAAGAGAGGGUGACAAGUGCAGGAAGUUUUUCAUUUGAGUAGCCAACUCAAAUAGAAGGAAUAACUCCACUGAAUCUUCGAUGGUUAAUGGUACCAUUUCUUCAAAUCAUUUUGAGAUUAGUGAAAACAUUGUGUAGUUAUAUAAUAAUUUGUAUAUUGAAUAGUUCAAUUGGCGGCCUAAUCUGGAUGGCCUUUCUUUUGAUUCUAUUAGGGAGGUUGAGGCUAUUUGGUUGGAGAGGGCGUUGGAGGAAGGUGAGGUUUUUGAGGUGGUGAAAGCCUUGAACAAUGAUAAGCCCUCGGGUCCUGACAGUUACUCUGUGGCUUUCUUCCAAGCUUGUUGGGAUGCAUUUUUAAAGUAGAUAUAAUGUUAAUGUUUUCCAUGAGUUCCAUGCUAGAGGCAAGUUUGAAAGAAGUCUUAAUACAACUUUCAUUUCCCUCAUUCCGAAAAAAUCAAGGGUUGAUAUUAAGGAUUUAAAACCUAUUAUUCUGUUGGGUGGAUUUUCAAAAUUGUUGCCAGAGUACUUGCCAACAGGUUGAAAAUGGUUUUGGAGAAGAUUGUUUCUAGAUCUAAGAAUGCAUUCAUUAGGGAAAGGCAGAUCCUAGAUUUUGUUCUUAUUGUCAAUGAGUGGAUUAAAUAUGGAAAGCUAGGUGUUCUUUGUAUAUUGGGUAUUGGAAAGGCUUGUGAUCAUGUUAAUUGGAGCCUUUUGUUGUUUAUGCUGAGGAGGUACGGUAUUGGAGAGAAAUGGUGUAAUUGAAUAGUUCACAGUUUUUCUUUGGUGCAUCUUUUUGUUUUCGUGAACAGCACUUUAACGAAAUGUUUUAGUAGUUCUUGUGGCCUGAGAUAGGGGGAUUUUCAUUUUCUGAACAACACUUUGACGAGCAUUUGUCCCUUUUCUUGUCUGUCAUCUUUAUAGAGGCUUUGAGUAUUUUUAUCAAGCUUUUCAGUCUGGUUUAGGAAUGUAGGUGGGCUUAUCAUUUCUCAUUUUCUGUUUGCGGAUGACACUUUGAUAUUCUACGGGGCAAACCUAGAUCACCUCCAUUAUUUUUUUUUUUGAGAAGUAGAUCACCUCCAUUAUUUGUGAUGCCUGUUCUUAUGUUUCGAAGCAGUUUUAGGUUCGAAGAUUAAUCUGGCUUUUCUUGCCUAUUUAUCUAGGUCUUCCACUGGGAGCUUCUUUUAAGGCCAAACCUAUUUGGGAUGGUAUUAUUGAGAAGAUAUGGCGUCGUUUGGCUGGGUGGAAGCGGUUAUAUUUGUCAAGGAUGGCAGGAUCACUUUGAUUAAGCGCACCUUGUCUAAUAUGUAUACUUAUUUCUCGACUCUUUUCUCCCUCUCUAGUAGCUUUGCCAAUCGCAUAGAAAAGUUAUAACAAGAUUUCUUGUGGGGUGGUAUUGGUGAUUAGUUCGAAUUUCAUUUGGUAAGUUGGACCAAGGUCUAUUCUCCGAUUUUUGAGGGGGAUUGCUAGUCCAGAAUGUACUUCUGCUUAACUGAGCCUUCUUAGGAAAAUGGUUAUGAUGCUAUGCAUAUGAGAGAGAGGAUUUGUGGAGAAUGGUAAUAGAAUCUAGAUAUGGCAACUCAGAGGGUGGGUAGAGUUCUAAUAAUGUUAUUUGGUCGCAUGGGGUUGGUCUAUGGAAAAAUAUCAGGAGGGGCUGGGGGAGUUAUCUAGAUUUACAAGAUAACUCCCCGUGUACUCCUUUCCGUUGGAGGAGUAUUUGGCGAAAUAAGGUUGCCUUUAGAAGCUUUCUUUGCUUGGUUGGCUACUUCAAGGAAUAUCCUCACUCUAGAUAAGGAAACGGAAUCUCAUAGUGGUAGAUUGGUGUUACACGUGCAAGAAGAGUGAGGAAACUUUUGCACACCCUCCCCCCAAUUUUUUUUUUUAUAAGUUUUUUAAUUUUUUUUCCAUUUUUUCUUGGGUUAGCCUUAGAAGGUGGUGUCGCAAACUGCUUUCUUGUUGUAGACAUAGACCUCCUGUGUCCAUGUUUAAAGACUUGAUUGGUAACAUCCAUUUUGUGGUCAUACUAGACUUAGCUGGGCAGACUUGCUUGUUAUUUCCAAAAGAUUGAGUUUGUUGACGUUAUUUAUGUGGUUGAAAGAUGGAGAAGACCCUUUUUUAGCAGGAGCUGUUGUGUUUUUCCAAUUUGUGACUGAUAGUGCUAUUUUGAUACGGUCCCGCAUUAGCAGGAGGAGUUAAGUGGUUAUUAUUUGAUUAGUUAGCUUAUCAGCAAAUAAGAGGAAUUGUUAUCCUCGCGUAGGUAGAGUUGUUGCAGAAGUUUAGUCUAUUCUAUCUUAUUGUUAUUUGAAUUUGAAUUUGAGAAGGUUAAUCCUAUCUUGUUUUUAGAUGGGAUGAUCUUUAUCUCUACGUAAGUGUAAGGCUAUAAAGCCCAACAAGUUUAAUGAAUAAAGUAAGCAAUUAUUCAGAAAACUCACGUUUGUUUUAUGAGGCCUAGGGAACCUUGAAUAGUCCCUAGAAAAUUAUCACCAUAGGUAACCAAAUGAAGUGUGAUCCAGCUUUUUUAUCGGUUCAACGUCCUCAAACACGAUCCCAAUUCCCGACCCGUAACAUUUUGGUAUUGGUAUCAGAGCCAGAUUCGACCAUGUAUGACCAGAGGUUGGAACGGUUAUAGAAGGAGGUAGGAUCUUUGGAUUCGGGUCAACUCGAGUUACAAAAAGGCCAAGAAAAAAUGCUACCGCAAAUGAAGGAAAUGUUUGAUACCAUUAAGGCUUGGGUGUCUAACGCUGGAGGUAGCAAGGGUGGUUCAGCAGGGGGAGAAGGUGAAGGAGAAUCCUCUCAUCAUGACAAAGGGAAGGGUCCAUUCUGACACGAGUCUGGUCAGUCCACAACACCAAAGUUGGCCAAACUGCACUUCCCUAAAUGUAAUGGGGAUGACGACCCAACAAGUUGGAUUUGUUGGGUGGAGCAGUUUUUCUGUUUUCAAAACAUCCUUGAAGAGAAGCAAGUUCAUUUGGCAGCGUAUCAUUUGGAGGGAGAAGCUCAACUCUGGUAUCAAUUGUUUCGAGAGGCCUAUGAAAACCUGACAUGGGAUUCCUUGAAGGAAGGAUUACACGUUUGUUAGGACCAACUCUUUAUGAUGAUUUUUUUGGCAAUCUUACCAAGUUGCAAUAGCAGACGUCUGUUAGGGACUAUCAAACACAAUAUGAAAGAUUGUUGAGUAGGGCUGGAAAACUAUCAGAAGCACAACAAAUUGGGGGAUUUGUAAGCGGAUUGAAGGAGAGCAUUCGUACUAGAGUGCAAGCAUCUAGACCAUCGUCGUUCACGGCAGCAGUGGGUCUUGCGAGGUUAUUCGAGGCCCAACAUACCUCUUAGCAAUAGCCCUUCGCCGCGGAUACCGGAAUAGCUUUGGAUUUCCCAACCUUUCCGCCAAUUCCAUCAUCGUCCCUGUCUAGAACUCGAAAUCCCAUCAUCAAACGCUUAAACUCUGAGGAGAUUAGUGAAAGACGUGGAUGUGGACUCUGCUACAACUGUGAUGAGAAGUUCGCUCCGGGGCACAAAUGUAAGAGACUUUUUCUGAUUGACGGGUGCUAUGAGGAGGAGGAGGAGCCACCAGAUGAAGUAUACUUGGCUGCAAUAUAGGAAGAAAUUCCAGAAAUUUCUCUCUGUACAAUGGGGGGAACGCUAAAACCUCACUUUGUCCUUGAGGACAAGGACUCUUCUAAGGGGAAUGGAGUGAUACGGUCCCGCAUUAGCAGGAGGAGUUAAGUGGUUAUUAUUUGAUUAGUUAGCUUAUCAACAAAUAAGAGGCAUUGUUAUCCUCGCGUAGGUAGAGUUGUUGCAGAAGUUUAGUCUAUUCUAUCUUAUUGUUAUUUGUUAUUUGAAUUUGAGAAGGUUAAUCCUAUCUUGUUUUGAGAUGGGAUGAUCUUUAUCUCUACGUAAGUGUAAGGCUAUAAAGCCCAGCAAGUUUAAUGAAUAAAGUAAGCAAUUAUUCAACAAA